RNAcentral lists this unclassified non-coding RNA (174 nucleotides) under uncultured Colletotrichum. Its description in RNAcentral is "sequence contains ITS1". The record is from RNAcentral. Lineage: Eukaryota; Fungi; Ascomycota; Sordariomycetes; Glomerellales; Plectosphaerellaceae.
CUGAGUUACCGCUCUAUAACCCUUUGUGAACAUACCUUAACUGUUGCUUCGGCGGGUAGGAGUCCCCUAAAAAGGACGCCUCCCGGCCCUCCCGUCCGCGGGUGGGGCGCCCGCCGGAGGAUAACCAAACUCUGAUUUAACGACGUUUCUUCUGAGUGACACAAGUAAUAAUCA